AGCGAACGCUGGCGGCAGGCUUAACACAUGCAAGUCGAGCGGCCACUCUCGGGUGUCAGCGUCGGACGGGUGAGUAACGCGUGGGAACGUGCCCUCUGGUUCGGAUUAACUCUUGGGAACUUGAUCUAAUACCGGAUCCUCCCUUUUGGGCACAGGCUUGCUGCGGGAGGAACGGCCCGCGUCUGAUUAGAUAGUUGGUUAGGUAACGGGGUACCAAGGCAGCGAUCUGUAGCUGGUAUGAGAGAAUGAGCAGACACACUGUGACUGGGACACGGCCCAGAAUAUUAGGGGAGGGAGCAGUGGGGAAUAUAGGAAAACGGGCGCAAGCAAGAACCAGCCAUGCCGGGUGAGUGAUGAAGGCGGUAGAGUAGUAAAGCAGUUUUAUACGGGACGAUAAUGACGGUACCGGAAGAAUAAGCACCGGCUAACUUCGUG
RNAcentral lists this ribosomal RNA (435 nucleotides) under uncultured bacterium. Its description in RNAcentral is "partial 16S ribosomal RNA". It matches the Rfam family "Bacterial small subunit ribosomal RNA", at positions 29 to 507 of the family's 1533-position model. The record is from RNAcentral.